This 253-nucleotide ribosomal RNA is filed under the name uncultured bacterium. RNAcentral describes it as "partial 16S ribosomal RNA". It matches the Rfam family "Bacterial small subunit ribosomal RNA", at positions 524 to 776 of the family's 1533-position model. The record is from RNAcentral.
UACGGAGGGGGCUAGCGUUGUUCGGAAUUACUGGGCGUAAAGCGCGCGUAGGCGGACCUGCAAGUCGGGGGUGAAAGCCCGGGGCUCAACUCCGGAACUGCCUUUAAGACUGCAUCGCUAGAAUUGUGGAGAGGUAAGUGGAAUUCCGAGUGUAGAGGUGAAAUUCGUAGAUAUUCGGAAGAACACCAGUGGCGAAGGCGACUUACUGGACACAUAUUGACGCUGAGGUGCGAAAGCGUGGGGAGCAAACAGG